RNAcentral lists this ribosomal RNA (777 nucleotides) under uncultured low G+C Gram-positive bacterium. RNAcentral describes it as "bacterial SSU rRNA". The stretch from base 38 to 407 matches the Rfam family "Bacterial small subunit ribosomal RNA", at positions 39 to 400 of the family's 1533-position model. Lineage: Bacteria; Bacillati; Bacillota. The record is from RNAcentral.
CCGAUUAGAGUUUGAUCCUGGCUCAAGACGAACGCUGGCGGCGUGCCUAAUACAUGCAAGUCGAGCGAAUCAAUAGGAGCUUGCUCCUGUUGGUUAGCGGCGGACGGGUGAGUAACACGUGGGCGACCUGCCUGUAAGACUGGGAUAACACCGGGAAGCCGGUGCUAAUACCGGAUAAUCCUUUCCCUCGCGUGAGGGAAGAUUGAAAGUCGGUUUCGGCUGACACUUACAGAUGGGCCCGCCGCGCAUUUAGCUAGUUGGGGAGGUGACGGCUCACGAGAGCGACGAUCCGUGACCGACCUGAGAGGGUGGAUCGGCACACUGGGACUGAGACACCGCCCUCACUCCUACGGGAGGCAGCAGUAUGGAAUCUUCAGAAUGGACGAAAGUCUGAUGGACCACGCCGCCUGAGCGAUGAGGCCUCUCGGUCGUAUGCUCUGUCUGCAUGGACAGAUGUAUCUGACUCCUGCUCGGCCUUGGCGUUCCUCCCUCCAACGCGCGGUUCCUCCUUCCCCCGCGCCGGUCCUCCUUGCCCGUACCGCUUGCUUACUUUCGUCCCCCCCCGCUCCCCGCUCCGUUUNUNCUUCUGCUUCCCCCCCCUCUCUCCGUCGCUCUUGUCCCGCCCCUGCGGNCUCUUUGGCUCUCUUUUCCCUCCUGGGGCGCGUUCGUGCCCUCUCGCCCGCGGACAUCCGUUGCCCCCACUUGGCCUGUUCCCGCUCCGUCCUUUGUCGUCUCCGGCGUAACCCUCCGCUAGCGCUCCUGCGUUCUGUCUGCCCU